This 2115-nucleotide unclassified non-coding RNA is filed under the name Hevea brasiliensis (rubber tree). The record is from RNAcentral. Lineage: Eukaryota; Viridiplantae; Streptophyta; Magnoliopsida; Malpighiales; Euphorbiaceae.
AAAUUUCAAAUGUUUGAAAUUGAAUUAAAGGGAAAUUCUUUCGGAUUCUGAUGAGGACAUUGAACAAUUGGUUAUCAUUUAUUUAAAUGCAUAAUACAGGCCCUUAGUUAACACGGCGACAAUUCUUCCUAAUUUCACCAUCAAAACCAGUCAGAGGAUUGAUGUUUCCCAUCUUGACCAUUGACUUGGCAAAUUGAUGAAAGAAGAGGCCCUCAUCCUCAGCAUAGCUUCUAACCAAUUCCAUAGCGUCCCCAAUGUUCCCUGUGAAAAGCACUACGUCGGAAAUGAGAAGCCCUUUACCACUCAGAAUGAGCUUGAAGUAGCUGUUGUCAAAUUUUACAGGAGAGGAAAAGUCCAAGGGGGAGAUGUUAUUGUCACCACCUGAUCUUGGGCAAACUGACUUCAACCCUAAGUAGUAGGUUUUCUCUAGAGUCUCAUCAGGUUGGUUUUGCCCAUUUUGAUUGUACAGCCUCUGCUUGAAGGUCACACAUCUUGCCACCCCAAUUGUAUGGCCUCCUGAGAGUGCAACAAGAUCAACCUUAUUAAGGCUCUGACGCUUGAAAAAUUUUAUCAGGUUUUGGAUGGUGGAGUUGGGUGGUGGAAUGUUGGUGUUAGCGCCACUGAGACUUGCAGCCCUGGAGUCUCUUCUUCCAAGUGGAAGCUCCCAAUAAGGUCCGCCAGUUAGUACAGUGGAGCCACGAGCGGCCAAGGCAAGAAUAUCAGCACAUGAGACAAUCUGAGGGCAUGCUUCUUCUAACUUGGUCUUGAUUUCAUCAAUCACUUCAAAUCCUCUAAUGGAGUUCCUGUUUGGUGCAGAAUUCUUUUCACUCACUAUUGUUGCACUAUCGUCCAACAACACUGACGCAUCACAGCCCUGCACAAAGCAAUCAUGAAAAUGAAGCCUUAGCAAUGACGCAGCCAUCCUAGGCUCCUUUGCAAUCGCCUUCUUCAGGACAGACAUGACAACUUCAUUGGCUUGAGGGCAUGAAAACUGAUAAAAUUCAGGAAACAGACCAAAAGAGCCACCGCCUGCAGGGCCAGUACCACCCCAGCUAAAGAAACCAGGGUAAGCUAGGGAGCUAGUGAAUGAUAGAACACUCAUUACAAUGAAACCGAAAGUAACCUUCGGGAGAGCCAUUGAUAAUAGAACUCCAGGAGCAACUCUUGUCCAUGGACUGAUUGGUUAUUCAACUGAUAUUUAUAUCGAUGAAGCUAACUACUCUCCCUCCAAAUCCUUCUAAAGAACCUAAUAUGUGGAUUGGUACGACCAUCUCCACUACGUCUUUAAACCUCUUCUGGCAUAGAAAUGCUACGGACAUGCAUGUGCAACUGUGCCUGCUUCAAUGAAUUAGGUUGCAAAAGUGUUUCUGGUAUCAACUGCUCCAAAAUCAUUUCCUCGCAUCUUCAUCUCAGCGGGGCUUCGAUUUAGUUAUGAACUUAACUCGUAUUAACCACUAAAUCAUUUUUUUUAACAUUUAUACCUAAUGUUCAGAUAAUAUAGCAUGUCGUAGCCUAACAAGUUCGCCCACUCGUACAAACAUAUAGCCAGAAAAUUUUUUUUUGCCAGCCUUUCAAUAAAUUGUUGCCAUGGCUUCAAUCUCUCUGACUAUCGAGUUUCAGAACCAUCCAAGUAAAGAAGGUUCCCUCUUUAUCUUCACCUACUUGCUUUUUCUCUUUUCGUCCCGCGAGUCCCUGACAGAUCUUGAUUUAAACCGACUCUAUAAUGCACAAGCUCCCUGGCUCAACCCAACACCAUAUUUCUGAUACUCAUACGUGAUGUGAAGCAACUCUGGGCUCAACUGUCUAACAGGUACAAUCCACAAUAACACACAAAGGUCUGAUUACUGAGCAUAAAAACAUACACUCAUCAAUACAAUCAGGAUGGAUAUCUUUAUCUUUGACACAAUUGCUAAAUACACACACACACACAUGGAAGAGAGAAAACAAUUAUAUCAUAUCAAAGUAUGGCAAGUAUUCAAAUUUUGUUACAUCUUGGAGGACCUAUGCUAUGUGCCUAUGUACAAAAGCCUUCUGCUUUCGGAUAAUGCAGUGAGAGCCGUCUCAAACAAUCAUUGAUUCUCUCCUCUCCCUCUCUUAUAUAUAUAUAUAUAAGAG